This 4423-nucleotide long non-coding RNA is filed under the name Mus musculus (house mouse). Its description in RNAcentral is "long non-coding RNA chr5:130102589-130107012". The record is from RNAcentral. Lineage: Eukaryota; Metazoa; Chordata; Mammalia; Rodentia; Muridae.
UUCCUUCUUUCCUUUCUUCCUUUCUUUUUUGAACCCUGCAUUCAGCUGAUGAAGAUAUGGACCUGUGCCACUUAUGGCUGCUCUUGCCAGCACUUGGGAGGCAGGAGCAAACUUCUGUGAAUUCAAAGCCAACCAGGUCUAUGAAGUGUUACGUGCUAGUCAGGGCUACACAGAGAGGACCUGACUCAAAAAAAAAAAAAGACAAGGCAUGACAAGACGUACACCCGCAUAUGUUUGUGUUUGUGUUUCAUUGGUGAGGUUUCUUUUAUUCUUUCACUACCAGUUCAUCUCCUGUCUUUCCAUUGCUCGUGUGUGUGUUUGUGUGUGUGUGUGUGUGAUAACUAAAUGCUUUGAACUCACUAAAUGCAUGCACACAUGGUAGAUGUUCCUGAUAUCAGCUACAAAAAAGCCGAUUGUUCUAAUUUGCAAAUGUACCCAGAAAUCAGAAGCCACUGAAGCUGAAGGAUGCACAUGGAAGCCCAGGGCAGUGAGAAAAGCUUCCACUGUGGAGACAUUGGGUUUGGACUGAUCAAACAAACUCAAAUAACUACACACAUGCACACACACACACACACACACACACACACACACACACACGGGCUCUUAAAGCUACCAGGCUACAGUUGAUGGUCAUAAUAGAAAUGAGAUCUUUAGGAACAGUCAUUUGUAUGAAGUACAUAAAUGAAUGAUCUUGAACCACAAGUUCAAAUAUGUGUCAUACACUAGAAUAGAACACAAUGUAAUGUGAUGAAUAGCAGGCAUGGUUUUGGAGACUAUUCAUUACAAAGGUAACUAUAGUUGGUAGUACAUUUAAGGUUCAAAUUCAAACACUUAUGAAAUUGGGAGUUUUAUUUUCAAAGAUGUCAACGCUAUAGCUUCAAGAGUUAGGGCUUUCAUUCAAGAUCAACGUAUAGACUUUCCAAUCAUGUAUGUGAGACUCAAGUUAGAAACUCAAGUCCUUCCUUUCUCCAAACUUCAUAGGAGCCACCAGAAAUUACAUUGUGCUUUUUAUGAGAUCAUAAUUACAUCAUUUCCCCUUCCCUUUGCCCCCUCCAACCCUCCUAUGUAACCCCCUUCUCUCUUUCAAAUUUAUGAUAUAGUUUUAUUCAUUGUUGCUACAUAUGUGUGUAUGUGUUUCUAAAAUCAUAAAUACAACCUUCUCUGUAUAAUGUUACUUGACUGUAUUUGCUUUUAGGGCUGACCAUUUGGUAUUAAAUUUAAAAAUUAGUUAAAAAAAAAAAGCUACCAGGCUAACGUCAGAAUCACUUCUUAGCUGAGGAUGACUUUGAACUUUGGUCCUCUUGCCUCCACCAUCCGUGUACCCACCAGGUCCAGUUUAUAUAGUGCUGGGGAUAGACCUUAGGGCUUCAUGCAUGCCAGGCUAGCCCUUUACUGAGUCGCAUCACCAGGCUAGCUUUAGAAAACGUUAUACAGAAGACAAGGACAUUGUUAUCUCUCACAGGGAAGAGAUUGGUAAGCCACAGAAAGAUCGAGGCUAGCGUUAAGCAUCCAGCGCUUACCCUUGUUGGACUCUUAUAUUAUUCUAAGGGCUUGUGCCCCAUGUCUUGCUUCUGUGGCCAUGUGAAGGAUACAUUGUGUUUUUAUAAAAGGCUAUAAAAUUUGGGCACCUAGUUUAUGUAAGAAGUUUAUUAGGUUCAGCAUGCAUGAUACAGCGACUCUGGUAUUUUGUGAAAUGUCAAGGCCUGCUUCCUUUCUCCUGAGCUAGCUGUCCUGACACUUAUAACCCAAUUUUUUUUUUCCUGCAGUGAAGCUGUGCAAAUGGAAGUAGCUGUUAAAUUCAGGAAAGUAAAUUGGUUAUACUUAAAACUUCACUUUUAUUCAUAUAUAUUCCCCCUGUUUAAAGAACUCUCUUAGACACACACACACACACACCAUGCUCUCUAUGUGGGUCUUUCUUUCUGAAUGUUGUCUUUGUCCCUUAAUUAUGCUUGAGCCUGUAUUAAUUUUGUUUUGUUCUGUUUCUUGAGACAGGGUUUCUUUGUAUAACUCUGGCUGUCCUAGAACUUGCAAUGUGGACUAGACUGGCCUCAAACCCAUAGAGAUCUGCCUGCCUGUGGUUCCUGAGUCCUGGAAUUAUGACCAGUAUAUUAAAAUAUAUUUUUUUAAUGAAACUCCAACUCUGCUUCAUUAGGAAGAAAAGAGAAAAGCCAUGCCCAUCCUUUUGUGCCCGCUGGCUUCCAUCAAGGCAGCUUCCUGGUUGGUUGGUUGGUUGGUUGGUUGGUUGGUUUUAAUUCAGUGUCUAUAAUUUGUGCAUGGGUGGGGUGGUUCAGCUGUAGACUCACCUGUCAGGGUCCUGAAUUACAUGGUUCAUAAUAAUUAAUCAGUAAAUACUGAUUUUUUUCAUGUAGAUGAUUUAAAGGAACAGCUGGGUGCUUAUACCUACCUGCCUUUCAGCCAUUGAUUAUUUACAAGUGAUUAACCCUCAUCUAGGCUUCUCUUACUGACUCAGAGGAAGUUAGAGCUCUAGUUGCCGUCAUUAGUUUAUUGCCCUUUCCAGAUUAUAGACUAAGUGAUUUUUAAAACGGUUUUAAGGCAAGGUCUCAGUAGCUCCUGAUCGUUCUGUGCUGAGCUCACAGGUGUACCAUCUUGUGUCUUGAGGGGAUGCUGCACACAUGGAUUCAGCGAACCAUGGACCAGAAGUAUUUGGAAAAAUGUAUACUAAACACACAGACCCUUUCUUGUUACUGUUCUUUGAACUGUAUAGUAUGAAGGUAUAGUACAUAAAUAGAGCAGGCAGCUCUGUUUUACAAGUGGGGUCCUGCACUCAAUGAAGACGAGAGUUUGAGCAUUCGUUAAAUUCUAUUGGCUAUUGUAUAUGAGAGAAUGUGAAUACGUUCUGUGCAAAUGCUGUGUUAUUUAGUCUGGGUCUUCUUUAGUGUGUACAGAUUUUGUUAUCUGAGGAGGGUCAGCCAGUACUUUCUCCUAACAUCAAAGGCUGACUUCCUUAUGUGUGUAUGUUGACUUAGAGACUCCAGUGCUAGUUAUCGAUUGGUAUAAGAACCCAAUUAGCAAGGAAAAGAAGUAGAAGAGGAGGAGGAGAAAAUCCCAGCACUUAGGGGGCAGAGGCAGGAGGAUCUCUGUGAGUUUGAGGCCAACCUGGUCUACAAAGUGAGUCCCAGGACAGCAAGAGCUGUUACACAGAGAAGGCCUGUCUUGAAAAACCAUAAAGCAAAACAAACAAACAAACAAAACCAAAACCAAAAACAACCAAAAAACACCUCACCCCACAAUUAGACCCUUAGAUUCCUGAAGUAGAAAUUAAAGAGGUAAUGCUUAUAGCACCUGUCAGUUAGAGGCCAUUUAUAUCUAUCUAUCUAUAUACAUAUAUACAUAUGUAGAUACAUCUAGAUCUAUACAUGUAAGUAUAUAUCUGUAUCUAUAUCUAGAUAGAUAGAUAGAUAGAUAGAUAGAUAGAUAGAUAGAUAGAUAGCAGGAGCCCACUCUUGUGCCAUGUGACGCCAGAUGAGGGCUUCAGAUCCCCUAGAGAUGGGGUUACAGGCAGUGGUGAGCUGCGAAGCAUGGGUACCGGGAAUCCAGAGCCUGUAACUCGGGACUGCAGGAUGAAUCAGCUUCUUAAACACAGAGUUGUUUCUCCAGCCCCAGCAUGCAGAGUGCUUUCACUGUCCUAGCAGUGUUCCGUCCUCUAUCUGCUCAUCCUUUCGAUCCCAUGGCCCUGGAUAUUGUGUUUUUGGUUGUUUUUGUUUUUUUCUAUUUUUGUACCCUAGGCAACGUUUUGCUUUUUUGAGGCUCUCAUAGCGUUGGAAGCAUAAGUACAGAGCAUCUUCAGAUGGGCAUGUUCCACUUAGUAAUGUGCACUUACAGCUUCUCCUUCCCUUCCUGGAUUACAGUGUUGGGUAGUGUCUUAUUGUCUAUGUGUAUCACAGUUCCGUGUGGUCAUUAUUCAUCCAAGAAGCUAGAGCUUCUUGAGUGUUUCUGAGACUUGGCAAUUAUGAAUAAAGCUGCUAUACACAUCCACGCAGAUUUUUGUGUGGUUAUAAGUUUUUUAUCUCAUUUGCAUAAACACCAAGGAACAUGGUUGUUGGAUCAUAAAAAUACGAUCAGCUUCGUUAGAAGCUGCCAAGCUGCCCUCCAGGGUAGCUGCGUUGUUUAUUUAACACCCCCCCCCCCCAAUGAUUCGUUUUAUUUGUCAAGUUAACAAUGUAGAGUCGCCUGGGAAGGGAAAUCUUAAUUCGAGAUUCUGUUGAGACUACAUUACUCUGUGGACAAGGCUGUGAGGGAUUUUCAUAAUUGGAUGAACUGAGGUGGGAAGACCUACUCUGAAUGUGGGCAGCUCCAUUUUAUGAGCUGGUGUCCUGGAGUGAACGAAGAGGCACACAUGAGCCUGCAUUCAUUCCCUGCAUUCUGCCCUUGGCUGUGUGGAUGUGAUAUUAUCCAUCUAGUU